CAAUAGCGUAUAUUAAAGUUGUUGCGGUUAAAAAGCUCGUAGUUGGAUUUCUGCUGAGAACGACCGGUCCGCCCUUUGGGUGUGUAUCUGGCUCUUUCUUGGCAUCUUCUUGGUGAACGUUGCUGCACUUGACUGUGUGGAGCGCUACCCAGGACCUUUACUUUGAGGAAAUUAGAGUGUUUCAAGCAGGCAUACGCCUUGAAUACAUUAGCAUGGAAUAAUAAGAUAGGACCUCGGUUCUAUUUUGUUGGUUUCUAGAGCUGAGGUAAUGAUUAAUAGGGAUAGUUGGGGGCAUUCGUAUUUAACUGUCAGAGGUGAAAUUCUUGGAUUUGUUAAAGACGGACUACUGCGAAANCANNNGCCAAGGAUGUUUUCAUNGA
RNAcentral lists this ribosomal RNA (380 nucleotides) under uncultured eukaryote. RNAcentral's name for it is "partial 18S ribosomal RNA". It matches the Rfam family "Eukaryotic small subunit ribosomal RNA", at positions 592 to 976 of the family's 1831-position model. The record is from RNAcentral.